CGGACGGGUGAGUAAUGUCUGGGAAACUGCCCGAUGGAGGGGGAUAACUACUGGAAACGGUAGCUAAUACCGCAUAACGUCGCAAGACCAAAGAGGGGGACCUUCGGGCCUCUUGCCAUCGGAUGUGCCCAGAUGGGAUUAGCUAGUAGGUGGGGUAACGGCUCACCUAGGCGAUGAUCCCUAGCUGGUCUGAGAGGAUGACCAGCCACACUGGAACUGAGACACGGUCCAG
This 232-nucleotide ribosomal RNA is filed under the name uncultured bacterium. RNAcentral's name for it is "partial 16S ribosomal RNA". It matches the Rfam family "Bacterial small subunit ribosomal RNA", at positions 99 to 334 of the family's 1533-position model. The record is from RNAcentral.